Amborella trichopoda is the source of this 2239-nucleotide non-coding RNA. The record is from RefSeq and is a predicted model, not a curated record. Lineage: Eukaryota; Viridiplantae; Streptophyta; Magnoliopsida; Amborellales; Amborellaceae.
AGAAGCUCAAGCGCUAACGGCUAAGAUGGGUGGAAAGCAAAUGAGUAGUGGGAAUUCAAACACAAGCAUUUCUCUCUCUACGAAACCCCCUCGCUCUCUCCUCGCAGCCCAAUCCUACGAAACCCAUUUCUCACGGAGCAUCCCAUCUCUCUCUUUUUGUAGCAAACCCAUUAGCAGGGAGCAUCCAAUCUCUCUAUGAAACCCUCUCUCUCUCUCUCUCCUCACAGCCCAACCCUACGAAACCCAUUUCUCACAGAGCAUCCCAUCUCUCUCUCUCUCUCCUUGCACACCCCUCUAAUCGUGGCAGCCAUUUCUCACAGAGCAUCCCUACGCGAGCUGCGUACGAAACCCAUUCUCACAGACCUCACAGCCCAAUCCCUCUAUUCGUGGCAGCCGUUUCUCAUAGAGAAACCCUCUCUCUCUCUCCUCGCAGCCCAACCCCUCCAAUUGUGGCAGCCAUUUCUCACACAAAAUCGCAGAAGAAGCAGCAGCAGCAGAGCCCUCUCUCACAGUAUAAACACCCAAAAUCACAUAAAAAGCUCUGCUGCUGCUGCUUCUGUCUUCUCUCUCUACACAAUUAAAAGAUUGAAUGGCACUAGGACUUGGGUUUCUUCUUUUAUGUGGAUAUCUUCUUCCUUUACAUAAUGGGUUAUGUAUAAACAGUAAUGCAUACCUUUAUAUCCUUUUGGAUUUUAAUUGCAUAAGCAUCAAUAUAAUGUAUUAUGAAAUUAUUUACUUGUUGUGAAUGCAUUAUGAAAUUGUGUCUAUCAGAUAUAAUCAAGUGCAAUUUGUAGAUCAAAUUGGAUGGAUUUUUUAUGGAAAUGAGUCAAACUUAUGUCAAUGCAUGGAAUUAUUAAUUGUUCUUAUGGAAAAUUAUCAAUGGCCUCUGUUUCUUAUCUGGUAGUCUGGAACUUACUUUCUUAAGCCAUUUUUGUUAUUGAGAAAGCAUUACAUAGAGGUACUACCUAUGCUACAUAGACAAGGUGGCAUAUAUGCUAUGUUUUGCUGAUUCAAAUUAUACAACAGUUCACCAUUCAGGUACUUGGGUAUUUUAAAUGGCUUUUAAAAUUUGAAAAUGAAUUUUAUGCUUUUCUAGGUAGUUGGGUAUUUUAAAUGGAAUCAACAUUGCCUUGUCGAAUCCUUCUACUAAUGUAUUUUUGCCCUCUAAUUUUCAUCUUCGCAUGCUUUAUUAUCCACAUGCUAAUGCAAAAAAAUUCUGAUAUGUCAAUUGUCGGCGGCCUUAUUAAUCAUGUGCCAUUGUAAGCACAUUUUGAUAUGUUAAAUGUUGUACACAUUACUUUGAGAGUUAAGUUCACAUUAAUAAGGGUGUCACCCCUGUUGUCUACAAUUGCUUUGAAUAUGGUUAAUCCUAUAAUGGAAGCAAUAAAAUUUGAAUAGUUAACAAAUGGGCUAUCUGGUCUACUAGGAGGUACUACCUAUGCUGCAUAGACAAUGUGGCAUAUAUGCUAUGUAUGAGUUUUGCAUUUUGGGUGUUAUUGGGUUCUUGUAUUUCAGCUCUGCUGCUGCUGCUGCUACUUCUGUCUUCUUUCUCUACACAAUUAAAGGAUUGAAUGACACUAAUACUUCGGCUUCUUUUUUUAUGUGGAUAUCUUUUGUGUUCUGCGGGACACUAUGAAAUCCAUAUCUUUCUAACAAGAUAUGAUGCUCUAGUUUUGGACUAAUUCAAUCUUUCUUCACAUGCAAAGCCAUUUUGGAUGGACAACCAACCAACACAGCCAUGCAAUAGGGAUUUAAUCAUGAUAUGGGUUUGGCUGCUCUAGAUGACUUGGCGGAUAUAGAAAGGUGACUCGAAACCUCAGUAGAUGCUCCGCAAUCCUUUAACUAUGGUUCUUACAGUCAUUUAAUGAAGGAAUGCCCCAAACCUCAUGAUAUUGUUGCUGUAAAAAAUGCUCACAAGAAACACAAUAUUUCUUUUUUUCUUUAAUAUCAUUUAUGAGGUGUUGUUUUCUAUUUAUUGGAUGCUCAUCGGUAAUUGGCAGAACCUUAUCUCUGUAUUUUGUUUUAUGGAACAGUCUGGAAAAUGUUUUUAUAGGUCUGCAUUUGAGUUGCUAGUUUGUGACAUUUAGGAUGGGAAGCAAGCAUGCUUUUUUGUAAUGGAAUUUGUAUACAAAUACUUGUGUUGUAAAGGGAGCUUCAGUCACAGUGAUCAAACUUUAAGAUUCAAACAGUUGUAUUGAACUUGUUGAAAUCGUUGAAGAAAUAUUACGAGUCUGGCCAA